This is a long non-coding RNA of Mus musculus (house mouse), 2392 nucleotides long. RefSeq annotates it as predicted gene, 30996. Lineage: Eukaryota; Metazoa; Chordata; Mammalia; Rodentia; Muridae. The record is from RefSeq and is a predicted model, not a curated record. The transcript is spliced from 5 exons.
ACACCACCCCUGCUGGUCCUGUGCAUCCUCAAAGGGACUUGUUCCUGAGCACACAGGGAACCUGUUCCCUGUGUCUUCAAAGCUCCAUGUUAGUGGUGGCAGAGCUCUGCUUCAGAGUGAACUAGUUCUUGAAUGGGGCACAUAGGUUCUUCCUGAAGGUGAGCAGCCAUGAAGAGGCUCUCACCUCCCAAUAGUCAUGAGCUGUCGUCACACACUGCAGAGGUCCACAUGAGUGUGAGGUAUCAUUGAGAAGAGUGUUGUUCAGUUUCCAGGAAAAUACUUGCGAAUAUCUGAAAUUCUCUCCAUGAUGUUCAAUGAUCUCUCAGAUGUCCUCAUCAAAGACAGGUAGUAGGAAGAAUUCACAAGGGACAAAAGAUCAUGGAAUGAUAAUGGAACCUGGCUAAGCUGUCAGGUUUGAAACAAGAGCCAGAGGGCUAGAGGUACAAGUAUUUCUGGUCUUGAAUAUGAGAAAUGCAGAAACAGACUCUACUGAGAGAGAGAUCAUCAUAUCGAACCAGUGACAUGUGAGGGGAAAUGCUUCCGGUAUAAGCAAUUCUUAGAAAAAAAAUGGAGACCCCAAUUCAUCCUUCAUAAAUUCUUCAUCGCUUGGAUUGAAAAUGAUGGUACAAUUUUUAAUUUGUGAGGAAAACAUGUUAUAUGUUGAUGGAGUGAGGAAUGUGAUUGAAGAUGUACAUGGAGUAAAGUACCAACCAAACACACCUUUAAAUUAUGUAUGAUGUCUGCUAGGAGAGACAAGAUCUAAUCUCAUGAGAUGUAAAUAUAAACCAGCCAUUAGUGUGUGAAUUGGGAAGGAUGAAAAGAAGGUGAAUCCCUAAAAAAAUAAGCAUCAUUAAUCUCAAGAAUGCCCACUAUAACCUAAAAUACAACUACAACAUUGGAUCUGGUUCUUAAUCAGAUAAUGAAAUUGUCUGCAGGUAAAUCUGCAGGUUUAUGGAUGUGGUACAUAAACUUGAGACAUCACAACAGAUGGAAGGAUUCUCAUAACUUUAAAAUGGACAGGACAGUGGUGAAAUUGAUUCCAGGUGAGGUUCAGAGGAUUGUGCACAGACAAAGGUGGCCUUUGAAUCCAGGACAUUGUCCAAAUUUAUAUGAAAGUACAGUGGUAUUGAGUUAGUAUGAAGGCAACAUUUCUUCUUCCCCUUCAGGAUUUUAAGUACGAAUAGUCUUUAGUUUAGAUAUUUUCUGCUUCUCUCCUAUCCCAAGUCACAAAAUCUCACACAACGUACUGAUACGACAAAUUUCAUUUUAAAACUUUGUUAUGAAAGAGCAAUGAAGGAUGAAAAUCGAAAUGAAAUGAAGUCCAGAUGAUGCAAAAUGCCUAGCUUCUCUUUCUCUCCUUUUCCUGACCUGAGGUCUUCACAUAGUACUGGGGGACACAUUGGAAUACAGGACAUCUACACAUGCCCAGAAGAGCUACAUAGGCUCCCUCCCAUGAAUGGAAUAUUAGGAACUCUGUUUCCAAGUCACAAUCACAUUUCCUGCUGAAGAAACCCUCCUGUCAGUGGAAGAACUUACAGAUAGAUUUAUGUAUGCUAUGGAUGGUGAUGAUGAUGAAUGGAUGUUUGAUACCUCAUGUUUGAAACUUUGUAGCUUCUUUUUAAGUGGAUAUGCAAUUGAUGCUUAUUAUUUUGAUAAAGUUCAUAUGUAAUAAAUGAAAUUCUUAUGAGCAAUAUUAGCUAACAAAGGAUAUUUCCUUGAAAUGAUAGUUUUAAUAUAAAUGUAUACUUCAGAGGGGCUAUAAAAGUGUGUACUCCUACCAGCAAUGGGGAAGUGUUCACCUUGCUCCACAUCCUCAUCAGCAUUGUCUGUCACUUGUGACUUUAGAUUCAGCCAUUCUGACAUUUGUAAGACAGAAUCCUAGACUCAUUUUGAUUUGCAUUUCAUGGUCAGCUAAGGAUAAUGAACACUCCUAUAAGUGCUUCUUUUUCUGUAGUGAUUCCUUUGUUAAGAAUUCUUUUUAGACCUACAAUUCAUUUCUAAAUUGGAUUAUUUUUUGUUGAUGUCUACUUUCUUAAGUAUGUAUUUUAAAUAUCAGACUUCUGUUAUAUCUGGUGUUGGUGAACACAUUUUUCCAUCCUAUAGACCACAGUUUGUUCUCUUGAUAGUGAGUGGUCUUUGUCUCACAGAACUUUCUCAAGAUCAUGAAGUCAAAUUUAUUGAUUAUGCUUCUUACUCUCUGUGCUUUGGUGUUCUCUUCAGGAUGCUGUCUCCUGUGCCAAUGGGUUGUGAGCCCUCCCCUACAUUCUCUGCUUUUGACUCAAGAUAUUUGAUUUCAUACUAAGGUUUUGAUCAGCUUUGUUUUGAGUAUUGUGAAUGUAUACCGAUAUGGAUCUAUUUGCAUUAUUCUAAAUACAGAUUUAAUUAGACAAGG